UACUCUCACACUUCCGAUUCUUGGAUCGGGAGUGGUGGACUUGGGUGUUGCUGCGGUACUGUGGCUCACCUCAAAUGCAGUAGUGCACCUCUCGGUUGGACGUAGUACGGCGUGAUAAGUGUCUUCGCCGGCACCUCCUCACAGAGGGUGGCCGAUCGGGAGCUCUGUGCUUCCAACUGUCCUCGGACAACGUUUGACA
This 199-nucleotide unclassified non-coding RNA is filed under the name uncultured Sebacinaceae. RNAcentral describes it as "sequence contains ITS2". Lineage: Eukaryota; Fungi; Basidiomycota; Agaricomycetes; Sebacinales; Sebacinaceae. The record is from RNAcentral.